AGUGAACGCUGGCGGCAUGCCUAACACAUGCAAGUCGAACGGCAGCACGGUAACUUCCUCCUCUUGGCGAUUGGCGGACGCGGGCGGGAUAGAACUACACAGGUCCUUAAUUUUGCGAUGGGGCGGCCGAAGGCGGAUUAACACCGCUACCGAAUAAGGGCUGAGAGCGGAAGCAGGGCGUGUUCCGCGCUUUCGCGUUGGCCGGUGGCGAUGUCGGAUUAGCUAGUUGGCGGGGUAAAGGCCCACCAAGGCGACGAUCCGUAGCUGGUCUGAGAGGAUGACCAGCCACACUGGAACUGAGACACGGUCCAGACUCCUACGGGAGGCAGCAGUGGGGAAUUUUGGACAAUGGGCGCAAGCCUGAUCCAGCAAUGCCGCGUGUGUGAAGAAGGCCUUCGGGUUGUAAAGCACUUUUGUCGGGAAAGAAAACCUUGGCGCUAAUACGGUGGGGGGCUGACGGUACCGGAAGAAUAAGCACCGGCUAACUACGUG
Molecule: ribosomal RNA, 492 nt
Filed under: uncultured bacterium
Lineage: Bacteria
Description: partial 16S ribosomal RNA
Rfam family: Bacterial small subunit ribosomal RNA
Source: RNAcentral